Molecule: ribosomal RNA, 548 nt
Filed under: Neogloboquadrina dutertrei
Lineage: Eukaryota; Foraminifera; Rotaliida; Globorotaliidae
Description: bacterial SSU rRNA
Rfam family: Eukaryotic small subunit ribosomal RNA (bases 1-446)
Source: RNAcentral
UUCUUAGUUCGUGGAGUGAUCUGUCUGCUUAAUUGCGUUUCACUAAGGGCCCAUAAAUUCAAGGUAUGUUAGCUAUCGUUUCUCAAUUGACCCCUUGUCCUCGAUAAGCGCGUGUCUUUUAGAGUUUAAACAUUGCGCAUGCUGUUGGGUCCUGAAAGCAACGAACGUGACCGCAACGUCUUAUUGCCUUUAUCUUGUUAUAUUCUAAUUUAAUUAGAAAUAGCUAACAGAGGCUAAUUUAAAAUUAGACGGACCGCUGUACUUUUCUUAAACCAGAGGAAGGUUGCGGCAAUAACAGGUCUGUGAUGCCCUUAGAUGUUCCGGGCUGCACACGUGCUACAAUGAUCAGUACAGUGAGCAUCUCAAUAUUAUACACCGUAUUAAGCGCUUAGUUGCGAUUAUUGGCUCAUUAUUGGGUCUUUUAAUUGUAUUUCUAAUGCGCGCGGUAAAGCCUGCUUCGAGAGUAAGUGGGUAAUCCAUUGGAAGUAAUGAUUUCUCUUUUUAUAGCACACCUAUAUACGGCAUUCAUUCCCGGGACGACUAGUUUC